RNAcentral lists this transfer RNA (85 nucleotides) under Actibacterium mucosum KCTC 23349. RNAcentral's name for it is "tRNA-Tyr". It matches the Rfam family "tRNA". Rfam says of the family: Transfer RNA (tRNA) molecules are approximately 80 nucleotides in length. The record is from RNAcentral. RNAcentral also lists the same sequence under 5 other names. Lineage: Bacteria; Pseudomonadati; Pseudomonadota; Alphaproteobacteria; Rhodobacterales; Roseobacteraceae.
GGGGAGUUGGCAGAGCGGUCAAAUGCGGCGGACUGUAAAUCCGUUGGGGCAACCCACCUAGGUUCGAAUCCUAGACUCCCCACCA